AGAGUUUGAUCCUGGCUCAGAAUCAACGCUGGCGGCGUGCCUAACACAUGCAAGUCGCACGAGAAAGUGGAGCAAUCCAUGAGUAAAGUGGCGCACGGGUGAGUAACACGUGAAUAAUCUACCUCCGAGUGGGGAAUAACUGAGAGAAAUCUCGGCUAAUACCGCAUAACACUUACGAGUCAAAGCAGCAAUGCGCUUGGAGAGGAGUUCGCGGCCGAUUAGCUAGUUGGCGGGGUAAUGGCCCACCAAGGCGAUGAUCGGUAUCCGGCCUGAGAGGGCGCACGGACACACUGGAACUGAAACACGGUCCAGACUCCUACGGGAGGCAGCAGUGGGGAAUUUUGCGCAAUGGGGGAAACCCUGACGCAGCAACGCCGCUUGGAGGAUGAAGCCCCUUGGGGUGUAAACUCCUUUCGAUCGGGAAGAUAAUGACGGUACCGAUAUAAGAAGCCCCGGCUAACUUCGUGCCAGCAGCCGCGGUAAUACGAGGGGGGCAAGCGUUAUUCGGAAUUAUUGGGCGUAAAGGGUGCGUAGGCGGUUUGGCAAGUCUUAUGUGAAAUCUAUGGGCUCAACCCAUAGCCUGCAUGAGAAACUGCCGGGCUUGAGUAUGGGAGAGGUGAGUGGAAUUUCCGG
Molecule: ribosomal RNA, 633 nt
Filed under: uncultured bacterium
Lineage: Bacteria
Description: bacterial SSU rRNA
Rfam family: Bacterial small subunit ribosomal RNA
Source: RNAcentral